GAUGAACGCUAGCUACAGGCUUAACACAUGCAAGUCGAGGGGAAGCGACAUCGAAAGCUUGCUUUUGAUGGGCGUCGACCGGCGCACGGGUGAGUAACGCGUAUCCAACCUGCCCAUCACUUGGGAAUAACCUUGCGAAAGUAAGACUAAUACCCAAUGACAUCCCACGAAGACAUCUGAAUGGGAUUAAAGAUUUAUCGGUGAUGGAUGGGGAUGCGUCUGAUUAGCUUGUUGGCGGGGUAACGGCCCACCAAGGCAACGAUCAGUAGGGGUUCUGAGAGGAAGGUCCCCCACAUUGGAACUGAGACACGGUCCAAACUCCUACGGGAGGCAGCAGUGAGGAAUAUUGGUCAAUGGGCGAGAGCCUGAACCAGCCAAGUAGCGUGCAGGAUGACGGCCCUAUGGGUUGUAAACUGCUUUUAUAAGGGAAUAAAGUGGGUCUCGUGAGACUUUUUGCAUGUACCUUAUGAAUAAGGACCGGCUAAUUCCGUG
RNAcentral lists this ribosomal RNA (492 nucleotides) under uncultured bacterium. Its description in RNAcentral is "partial 16S ribosomal RNA". It matches the Rfam family "Bacterial small subunit ribosomal RNA", at positions 28 to 507 of the family's 1533-position model. The record is from RNAcentral.